UACGUAGGGGACUAGCGUUGUUCGGAAUUACUGGGCGUAAAGCGCACGUAGGCGGAUUUGUUAGUCAGGGGUGAAAUCCCGGGGCUCAACCUCGGAACUGCCUUUGAUACUGCAAGUCUCGAGUCCGAUAGAGGUGGGUGGAAUUCCUAGUGUAGAGGUGAAAUUCGUAGAUAUUAGGAAGAACACCGGUGGCGAAGGCGGCCCACUGGAUCGGUACUGACGCUGAGGUGCGAAAGCGUGGGGAGCAAACAGG
Molecule: ribosomal RNA, 253 nt
Filed under: uncultured bacterium
Lineage: Bacteria
Description: partial 16S ribosomal RNA
Rfam family: Bacterial small subunit ribosomal RNA
Source: RNAcentral